CCCUUAGAUGUUCUGGGCCGCACGCGCGCUACACUGAUGCAUUCAACGAGUCUAAAACCUGCUCUGAUAGGGGUGGGUAAUCUUUUGAAUGUGCAUCGUGAUUGGGAUAGAUGAUUGCAAUUUUUCAUCUUCAACGAGGAAUGCCUAGUAAACGCAAGUCAUCGGCUUGCAUUGAUUACGUCCCUGCCCUUUGUACACACCGCCCGUCGCUCCUACCGAUUGAAUGAUCCGAUGAAUAUCAUGGAUUGAGGAUUAUAGCAGGUUCGCCUGUCUUGAUCUUCGAGAAGUGAAGUAAAUCUUAUCAUUUAGAGGAAGGAGAAGUCGUAACA
Molecule: ribosomal RNA, 329 nt
Filed under: uncultured eukaryote
Lineage: Eukaryota
Description: partial 18S ribosomal RNA
Rfam family: Eukaryotic small subunit ribosomal RNA
Source: RNAcentral